This is a non-coding RNA of Odocoileus virginianus texanus, 4345 nucleotides long. The record is from RefSeq and is a predicted model, not a curated record. NCBI's taxonomy places the organism in Eukaryota, Metazoa, Chordata, Mammalia, Artiodactyla, Cervidae.
UCUGUCUCUGGAACAAUAGGUACCUGUAUUCUGCACGGACUGCUGGGCAGCGCUGACACUCUGGAGAAGGUCUGCCUCCUCACUCUCCUGGUUGUAUGAAGGCAGAUGAGUGCCACAGCUGUAACUGAGGCAUACGGCAAUAAACACAGUGGAGCCAAUUUCUACGCUGGCGAGAGAGGGGGCAUCAGAGUUGACAACAAUGACAGGGACCCAAGGACCGUCCUUCUGACAAGUUUCAGAUUUGCAGCCUCAUGGAGUGAGUGACGGAGUGGUUUGCCAACUUGUAGUGACUCCACUCAGCCGCGCAGAAUGGCUGCAGGAAAUGUGUAUUCAGAUAAGCCCAAAGAAGUCUGCCCAGGGUGAAACAUGUACCUUUGAAGUUUAAAUCAGAAAGGAAGGAGAGGCUGUUUCUACAGGUGUCAGAGAAAAAUCGAUACUGAGCCACGGAUUAUUGAAUCCCGUAGAACCAUGGAGGCUUGGCAGUGAAAUUCUUCCAAAGGGUUUCUUCUAAAUUUCACAAAGUUGAAAAACUAUACCUAAUGCAUUGGUGGUUUGACUGCAUUGCUUAGCGUUCCGUCCAUGCAGGCAGAUGGUGUUCCUAGGUUUGAAAACAUAAAUCCCAGGGGACGUGAGCUGAAGAACAUUUUAUGCAUCACUCAUCCUAUUAUGAGCCCUAUGCUGCUCCAUCUCUACAAGAUUGGCUGAAGCAAUAGCAACCACAAAAAUUGUUUAUAAUUUGCAUUCUAACUUUCCAUCAUUUGGUUAAUACCCUGAAUCUGAUUACCCAAGAAAACAAUGUUCUAAAAGAAAGACUAUUAGAAAGUUGCCACUGCAUUAUUAGUGAAUAACAUGGAAAGUGCAACAUUCUAGAUUUCCCAUCGUGUGAGGACAGAAAGAAAGUAUGGUCAGAUCUGGGUACCUGAAAAGCAGUUUAUUUUCUUAUGCAUUGUCAAGAGGAUAAAUACACAAUGAAUUUUAUAUAUGAAGCGGUUGACUGAUUGUACCUGCCAGCUGGCUAAUAUCAUAAUUAACAAAGUUGCUACUACGUCUGCAAAGUUUAAUCGAAAAAUUUGCCAGUGAUAUGAUGGCAUUGUCACAAAGAUCACAAGGGACUCAGAGUCGACUUUCGCUCAAGGUGGAAUGACAGAGCUGUGGAGGCAAAAUGAGAAAUCUUGAACUUGUUCAGCCAAAGGGCAAUAAACUAGGCCUCCACUAAGCCUGAGCAAAUAGAAAAGAAGAGGAUUAAGUGGAAUGUCUGCAAGAAUGUCAUGCAGAUGGGGUCUUGUCUCAAGACUGAUGGCCCAUAAGGUUGUGCUUCAUAUCACCCACCAGGGAGGAUCAUCUCUCAUGAAAACUUUCAAAUUUGAUUUUGAAAAUUAUUCAGAAAAAUUUAAGCCAUGCUAUCUCCCAGGGUAGGAAAGAAUAUGCUCUAGAGACUUCUAUAAUUCAAAGGCAAUGGACUGGGAUAACAUUUAAGUUAUCAGGCUGCCGAAAUCCUCUUGAGAACAGCCAGGAGGCUAAUAAUGAAGGGGCCAGAGAAGGAGGCCAGUGCUACCAGGGUUAUCUCGCAGCCUCAGAUGUUGGAUAAGUCGAAGGAGGCAGGAUCGCUUCAGGAUGACAUUCAGAAAGGCCGGAGUGAUUACCGGGAAGAGAAAAGCCUACCUAUUCUUUUCUAAGGUGCCUGAAUAUUCCCCUGGCCUGCUUGUCCAUGUGCUGAUGCAUUAUUAGCAACCUGCCUUAGACAAAGGAGGCACUCGGAGCCCCACCACACCUCAAACCACGCUUUGAAGGAUCUGCCAAGCUCACUUUUAAUCAUGAGGAAGGAAUUACCCACAUGGAGUCAGCAGAAAAUGAGAAAGUGGAGCUCGUGCUGAGAAUAAUUCCAGCAAGUGCCAAGGGGCUAGUUGAGGAAUGGUUUCAUGAGGUGAAUAUCUUUAGCUUGUACUUAGGGUUUGGGUAGCGUAUAAUCCUUUUUUCUUUUAGGAGCGAUGACUAUCCUAAGUGUCCUUCCCAACUCAAGAGCGCUCAGAGCAUUUGUCAGGCUGUUGACAGAUUGCUAUCAGUCUCGUCCUUGUUGUUAUUUUCUGUGACUAAUUUUACAUUUGCAAACAUGCAGCAGCCCACUGGGGCUGCCGAGCCGCAGUGCUGACGGCCGCGUGUGUCUGUGUGCGUGCAUGUCUGUGUGUGAGUCCGUCUGUGUGUGUGCCCUUGUGCCCGUCUUCUCUGUCGUGCAUGUAGGUGGGGAGGGCUGGCCGGCCAACGGCCUCUCAGAUGUGGUCCGAGGCUUUUAUUUGAUCUUUGGACCGAGAGAAAAAGAACGUGUCACAUCAUGAUGAAUGGUCAAUCUGAAUUUCCAAUUCAUACAGAAGGAGAAGCGGGGAGGAGGCUAUGAGCCCAGUGGUGAGACUAACCUUUUCCCUUUGGGAAGAGCUUGAUUCAAAUUAAACAUCACUUUCAGUGUGAAAUUAGUUUGAAGGUCUCUCUCUCUUUUUUUUUUUUGGUGCCUGGUUUAACUCCUUGAUGGGCUGCUCUUUCAGGGAGGAACCCUUCCGUCCACCUUUGCGCUUGUGUCUGUUCCCAGCAGCAGCCCAUAGUUCUUUGUCCUUUGUUCUGUUUUUCUAAAGAUCAGGUCCAAAAAAAUUUUUUUUCACUAUUUUCAAAACUCCCAUUAUUCACAAGAUAACAUUCUCCCUAAAACAUGUUAUUUCUUGAUGUCCCAAACUUAUAUCUGAAGUAAAUAACGUUCUGCUUCAAAGGAUAAUCUUGCUGGGGAGGAGGGAGAGGGAAAAUUUGGGAUCUUUUUGAAAGAACCUUCCAGUGUCUCCUGCUUUAGGCCAGCGUCUGCUGGCCACGGGAGUCAGAGCGGAGGAGUAGCAGCCGCAAAGCCCAAGCGUGCUCUCGUUUCCCUAGUUCCCCGCAGAAAUAGUGAGUCGCGGGGUCACCCAGGCCAGCCUGCUGCAACUCUGGCCUCAAACACGCAGGUGCCAGGAGGCUUCUGAAACCUCCUUUCAGUGCUUCCUGGUCCAAGGACUAAGGCCCGAAUGUGUAGAAAGAACCGCUGUCCAUGGACACGCAAGGCUGCUUGCCCAUCUGGGCACAUGCUUGCUGCUUUGGUUAGGCACCCACAGGGCUAAAUAUGUGAUUGAUUCUCUUUCUGGAAUUGAGUGGCUUAUGGGAAAAGGGGUAGUAUGGAAAAGACUAAGAGACAAGGGUAUUCUUCCAAUGACUCUUCAGAAGGAAAAUGUGUGGGUUUUUGAAUUCCUAAAGAGGAGUGUGGAGGUCAGGCAGCUGGGUUUGGAGUGAGACUGGGGAGGUGAGGCAGCUGAGGGUGGAGGUCGAGGUGGAGUGGGGGGUGAGGAGCAGCUGUGUUUAUUUUAAUCCAUCUCAUUUAACCCUCACCUAAAAACAAAUUGGAGAGGUUUGGGAGUGCAUUAAUCUGGACCCAAUUAGCAUGUCUUUCUCCUUCAAAAGUGCAACCUGAGAUUAAUGAAUAUAAACUAGAGUUUCAGAUGCAGUGCUUAAAUCAUUUGCAUGUUUCAUGCAUGAUAAUUGAAUUUAUGUCUGCACUUCCUUUCACUUAACUAUUUCCAGUCUCCUUCCUGUGAGUCACAUAAAGCAAGAUUUCAUUCUCCUAACCUUUCGGUGGAGUUUGCCUAGCUCUUGCUCCUAAUGAGAAACUCAAGUGCUUGUUCCUUUUAUUUGAAUUUGAAUAAUACAAUAUUUUCCACAAAGCAGAGGGCAGGGCUUAAUAGACUGGGAUGCUGUUUCAGGAACUGGUAAACAGGCACUCCAGGUUUAUUUUUUAAAGACCAGAAAACCCAUGGGAACUGAAGGCAUUGAGUUUUCAGUGGUUCCAGAAAAUUGGGUUUCAGUGUGACCACUUUUAAGUGUAUUAAUAAUGCCAAGAGGAAGGUCACUUUAAUGCAACAUAAAGAAUGUUCUCAGGCUCUGGACAGAGUUACUUAUCACAUGGGAUUAGCGCACAGUACUUUUCUGGCAUAGUUAGAUAUAUGCUUCUGUGGAAGGGGGAGGUGGGUAGUGUCAGUCUUCAUGAAGGUGUGUAGAUGAGCAGUUAGCACUUGUGGUUGCUUAGCAUGCUGUAGGUUUUUUCCUUCUUUCUUUCUUUCUUUUUUGUUAUUUAGGUGUAGAAGGCUUAAUGCUGACUUACUGCAAGCAGGUGUUAAGGUCCCCUUCCCCACCUGCUCCAACCUGAAAAGCCUAAAAGCUGGCAGUGAGCAUGAAAGAAUGCUUCCUAGGGGAAACGCCGAGGCCAGAGGCUUGAAAUGACCCACCCUGGUUUCAGUUUGUAUCAGUGAUUUGUCUGUCUUCUGUCUUUCCUCAUGUG